CAAGUAGAUAUUCACAGUUUAAUUUUGAUAUAGAGAGAAGAAACAAUGUUCACGGCUUCCCAUUUGUUACUGUUCCUGGUUUUUGGUAUUACACAAGGUAGUGUUUUAUACGAUCCUUCCACAGUGGAUGAAGCAAAUACUAGUCUCAGCUGUUCUGUCGAUGGAAAAAUUGUGCCUAAUGGUCACAAUUUUACAACAAAACAAAGUGGUCCAUGUAUAACAUACAGAUGCCAGAAUCGAGCAUUUAUACCCAUAGAUAUACGUUGCCGAUUAUCCGACAACUCAUGCGUGCCAAUAGGACACAAAAUUAAAAUCAGUAAUUGUAUGGUCCAUCAAU
Long non-coding RNA from Patella vulgata (common limpet), 337 nucleotides. RefSeq lists it as uncharacterized. NCBI's taxonomy places the organism in Eukaryota, Metazoa, Mollusca, Gastropoda, Patellidae. The transcript has 4 exons. The record is from RefSeq and is a predicted model, not a curated record.